UUUUUUACAGCGCUUGCACGCAUGAGAUGCUUAAAAGAUUCGGAUUGUUCAUUUUAUGUGUGUAGAAAGUCAUAUAAAGCAAUUUUUACUGGUACACGAUGUAGAUGUGUUAAAAUCAUAGAUUAAGUUUGUGAGUGAUUUUGUAUUUCAUUUCAUAAUUGAGAUUUGGCAUAAAUGUUCUGCUAAAAUCUUUCAUAAGUUGUCGUUAUAUAUUUAUUGUUUCAUGGUAAUAAAAUGAAGUGAGAUAGAAAAUAGAAAAUAUAUCGUCGUAUAAAAAAUAAUAAUUUAAUUAAGCAUAAUUUUAUACUCAUGUGAUAAUAUUGGUAGAAUGGUGAUCUUUCUCAUCA
This 347-nucleotide long non-coding RNA is filed under the name Lathyrus oleraceus (garden pea). RNAcentral's name for it is "Pisum sativum (pea) long non-coding RNA (PSAT_LNC021062)". Lineage: Eukaryota; Viridiplantae; Streptophyta; Magnoliopsida; Fabales; Fabaceae. The record is from RNAcentral.